Molecule: ribosomal RNA, 497 nt
Filed under: uncultured bacterium
Lineage: Bacteria
Description: partial 16S ribosomal RNA
Rfam family: Bacterial small subunit ribosomal RNA
Source: RNAcentral
GAUGAACGCUGGCGGCGUGCCUAAUACAUGCAAGUCGAGCGAACAGACGAGGAGCUUGCUCCUCUGACGUUAGCGGCUGACGGGUGAGUAACACGUUGAUCACCUUCCUAUUUGACUGGGAUAACUUCGUGAAACCGGAGCUAAUACCGGAUAAUAUAUUCAACCGCAUGGUUCAAUAGUUCAUGACGGUUUUGCUGUCACUUUUAGAUGGCUUCGCGCCGCAUUAGCUAGUUGGUAAGGUAACGGCUUACCAAGGCGACGAUGCGUAGCCGACCUGAGAGGGUGAUCGGCCACACUGGAACUGAGACACGGUCCAGACUCCUACGGGAGGCAGCAGUAGGGAAUAUUCGGCAAUGGGCGAAAGCCUGACGGAGCAAAGCCGCGUGAGUGAUGAAGGUCUUCGGAUCGUAAAACUCUGUUAUUGGGGAAGAACAAAUGUGGAAGAAACUAUGAACGUCUUGACGGUACCUAAUCAGAAAGCCACGGCUAACUACGUG